UACGUAGGGCGCAAGCGUUGUCCGGAAUUAUUGGGCGUAAAGAGCUCGUAGGUGGUGUGUCGCGUCUGCCGUGAAAGCCCGGGGCUUAACCCCGGGUCUGCAGUGGAUACGGGCAGGCUAGAGGUAGGUAGGGGAGAAUGGAAUUCCCGGUGUAGCGGUGAAAUGCGCAGAUAUCGGGAGGAACACCGGUGGCGAAGGCGGUUCUCUGGGCCUUACCUGACGCUGAGGAGCGAAAGCGUGGGGAGCGAACAGG
This 253-nucleotide ribosomal RNA is filed under the name uncultured bacterium. Its description in RNAcentral is "partial 16S ribosomal RNA". It matches the Rfam family "Bacterial small subunit ribosomal RNA", at positions 524 to 776 of the family's 1533-position model. The record is from RNAcentral.